GCCUUCGUGGUGCAGUGGUUAGUACGCUCGACGCGAAUUCAAGAGGUCCGUGGUUCGAGCCCCGGCGAGGGCA
This 73-nucleotide transfer RNA is filed under the name Stegodyphus dumicola. RNAcentral describes it as "tRNA-Ser". It matches the Rfam family "tRNA". From Rfam's summary of the family: Transfer RNA (tRNA) molecules are approximately 80 nucleotides in length. Their secondary structure includes four short double-helical elements and three loops (D, anti-codon, and T loops). The record is from RNAcentral. Lineage: Eukaryota; Metazoa; Arthropoda; Arachnida; Araneae; Eresidae.